Non-coding RNA from Caenorhabditis elegans, 172 nucleotides. Lineage: Eukaryota; Metazoa; Nematoda; Chromadorea; Rhabditida; Rhabditidae. The record is from Ensembl.
AUGAGAAAGAACUUUUGGGCUUCGAGGACUUUUUGGGCUAUCCAUUUUUCUGUAAGCAAAAUAAAGAUGGGAAAACUAGCCAGAUUGAAAGGAAUGUUAAGUAGAUUGAAGGGCACAAGGCGUUAAUAAAAAAUGAAGAGGAUCGAUAGCGGGCGCGCUGAGAGUUGCUCGA